This 1211-nucleotide long non-coding RNA is filed under the name Callithrix jacchus (white-tufted-ear marmoset). Its description in RNAcentral is "lncRNA (ENSCJAG00000079499.1)". The record is from RNAcentral. Lineage: Eukaryota; Metazoa; Chordata; Mammalia; Primates; Cebidae.
AUCGAUCCAAAGAAGAAGGAACGAGAUAGUGUUUCAAUUCCGUCUUGCUAUUAAUAUCUUCUCCUCCGUAGCAACAGAACUGAGGUAUCCAGGUUGCUCCAUCUACAAUAGAGCGCAUAUAAGACGUAGAACAAUGGGUAGGAGAGAGAGGCCAUUGGCUAACAUUAGCUCUCUUCUUUCUGUAUGUUAGGUAAUGGCACGCGGUUAGUUGUUUCUUAGUGAAGCUCCACUUGAGGAAGCAAAAAUUAGUUUUCGGGAAAACAGAAAUAUGAAGAGAAAGCUUGUCCUGAUUGAUCUUUAAAUAGAAUGGGGAAGUCUCGAUGCAGUGAACCACGUGAAUCCCUUUGACAAGAUAAUUCAAGUUCAUUGUCUAACUUUGAAAAAUAGCAAUGAUAUGGUCAGGAAGAUAUUGAUGUAUUUGAAGAGGAUUUAAAGGGAACUGGAAGGCAGAACAGCUGAUUCUUGUGUUACCUUGUGGUUUUCUAAUGACAAUAUUUUAUAUCAUCUGAAAAUCUUAAUUUGAGCAUUAAUUUGGAGAGAUGGACACUGUGUUACCUCACCCAAGUCAAAUAAUUCAUGAGUUCUUUGUUCCUGUGAAUCUGGCGACUCAGAAGAGCACUCCCAAUCACUGGAAAGGCAAAACAUAUUUCUUCAGACUGUACAAGAACCAUGGUUCCAGUUUGGCUUCUGGUGAGAACCUCAUGCUUCUUUUACUCAAGGUGGAAGGCAAAGGGGAGCCAGCAUGCAAAGAUCACAUGGAUUUGGGCAUUGGACUAGCUGAGAAAAUCUAAAUCUCAAGACGGAAGAAGUAUUUGUUAAGCCUAACAAGAACAUUAAAUAGCCACCAUCUGUCCUAUGUAAUAAAAUUAAUGAGUUUUUCUUCCACCCUCUCUAUUAAUAAAGUCUUUGGGAAAAAGGUGUGGAACUAAGCACCUGGGAAUGAACUUCAUGGGCUUUGAUGGGGUCACAAUUUCCUGAAAUGCUUUCCCUCCCUUUUUUUUAGUAUUACUCUUUGCAAAUUUUCAGGCUGUCACCGUUUAAUGCAUAGGAAAGGAAUUUUUAUUUCUGCAUUUUCCCACCUGUUACCACCUUGGUAAGUGAGGGGAUAACAAUGAAUCUGUGGAACUCAACCCUAGUGGUCUCAGUGGAAACAGAAAAACAGACCUCCAGGAAGAAAGGAAGAGACAUCUUAAGAGAAAUUGAAAUUUCAU